This 10084-nucleotide long non-coding RNA is filed under the name Triticum aestivum (bread wheat). RNAcentral's name for it is "long non-coding RNA (TAES_LNC019828)". The stretch from base 5991 to 6109 matches the Rfam family "MIR1120/MIR1122 microRNA precursor family". The record is from RNAcentral. Lineage: Eukaryota; Viridiplantae; Streptophyta; Magnoliopsida; Poales; Poaceae.
GUCCAACCUGCCAGAGCCCAGAGGCCAGAGCCAUUGCCAGUUCCAAAGCAUAGCUUUCUUCAAUUAGCAGCUGCUUACAACUUCAUCACAAGGUUAAACGUCAUGCCGCGUCGCCUACUUCUUCUUUUUUUGCGAGUUUAAAGAAAGUUUUAUUCCAAAGUAACAUGUAAGUUACAGUCCGCUAAUACAAGAUUAUGAAUGAAGGGGGGUGACCGUUGCAACCAACAAGCGGUGCUACGAGCCGUUCGAGCAUAAUUAGCAAGACAAUGUGAGACCAUGUUCUGUGAUCUCAGGAUCUUCAUAGGUUUAAACUCCCUCUGCAGCAUGUAGUUCUUGAUAUCCCUGGCCAAUUGACCAUUGGGUGAUUUAUCAAGUGGGGCAAAAAUCAUAGAAGAAAGGGUCACCAGCGAGUCCGACUGUACUAAGACCGGAAGGUUAGACCAUUCAAUAGCCAUAGACAUUCCUAUCUUGAUAGCUUGAAUUUCCGCCCUAAGGGCAUUGUUACAGUAGAACAAUAGUUGACAUGAUGAAAAAAAUGACAGAGCCCAAGUUAUAGGAUCAUGCCUGCUACCGCCGAGCGCUCUUCCGCUAAGUAAAGAACCAUCCACUGACGAGGCAAGCCAGCCAAGAGGUGGCGGCUGCCAUGGUCUAUCCGGCGGCUGCAACGCUCCCUUCAGAGGCGAUUCCCCUCUGAUAAUUUGCUCUGUGGUGAGAUUGUCUGCAUUAAGAUAGCUACACACCCAGCCUGAUGGGAUUGGCACGAGGAAUCCACUCCAUGAUAUAUUGGCCGAGACGUGCAACACAAGCUUUUUUUGUGCUCCAUCUUUAGAACCGAAAUAACUAACGCCUUUACGCGGGGUCGUUGGCAUUCUCUAUCUAUCUCUCCACUGGCUGCUGUCUGCUUCGCUCAUGCUGCGUUGUGUUUUGACCCAGAAAAAUGCUGUGGUCAUCCAUGCCCAGAACUGGGUGCGCACUCAUCUCUCGCCACGCCCCCUGAUGUUCAUGUACCAGUACUGCUAGAUAUUGGUCAGUUGCCUUCUCCAAGCUCCAACUGACCAGAAAGGCAGAAACCCAAUUCAUCACCAUCAUCAGUGUCCGUUGCUUCGACACUUUGAACUGGCAGUCUAGUUGGCACUGCUGCUGCUCCUCCUACGCGCCACGCAUCAUUCGGUGACCCAAAUCGAGCUGACCUCUCAACAGUGUAACAAACCCCGGCUGCUACUGAAUCUCCAAACAAGCACACACCGACAGAUUCAGUUCAAUUCAACAGAUAACAAACGGUGUCGACAAUUCAACAGAGGAAUGGCAAACCCACCCCUGUAUGUGGAGCACAAGGGGUCGAUCCGCACGAAUAUAAUGCCCACAGAAUCCUCAGUUUCGCUUCUGAUCUCGGGUACGAAUGCUAUAAGCACAUAGGCACCGGUGUCUGCUGUUUCUGGUACUACAGGUUCAGUUCAGUCUGGCGAGACAUCAAAGCCAGUACAUUUUAUUGCGGAGCACGACGACGCCUCGAUGCCCCGCAGCACAACCGGGUUUGGAGGCAACGAAAGCGGCCGAACAAAAAUUGCAUGAGUUCAAGUGUGAACCGUUCGAUAUAGGCUGAGCAGGUCGCCGCCUAGCUCUCCUGCGCGAACUUGACCCCCUUCUCGAUGGAAGACAGCAGCUCGCCCUUGAGGCUCUCCAGCCCCUCCUUCUCCAAGGCCGACAGCUCGCCCAGCCCCAUCACUUCCUCCACUCCACUCUUGCCCAGCCUCACCUGUGCAAUGCCAAAGGAAGGAAAGUAGUGUUCAGCACAUCAAGUCUCCAUCUUCUCACGGGAGUUAACAGGUUGCGGAAUAGCAUUCAGCACAGGCAUGUUUUCCGGGCUUCGAAAACGGGCUUAGAUGAUGUGAAACAAAGCACAAUCUGUGAAUCGUGGUAUGCCAGUUCGAUCAUUAUGACACAUGGGACAUGCCUGGCCCUCUACAACAAUGGUAACUCCAUAAACUUAAAAAUCAACCAUAAGUUUGUCUAUAAACUAAUCAACCAAAAAAUUACGGAUCAACAAGAGUGUCUUGCCAGGCCUGCGACAGACCACAAGAUUUAACUCAAAAGAACAACCUACACUUUGGAUACCUGCUUACAAAGUAAAAAACAUAGCGACACCUUCUACGAAUAAGCAUGCAAGCAAAUUUCAUGUAGGGAUGAAAAGUUGGUAACCUGCUUAAGAACUUAUAACAUGAUAAAAGAAAGAGGAUUAUGAAGGUUUUCUCUUGACAAAUAAUCUGCAGGGACGUGAUUGUGUACUAUACAGGGAGAAUAGGAUUUAUUUAUGCAUCGACAGGGGGGGAACAGGAAAUCACCUUGGAGGCAAAGAAUGGCAGCUCUGUUACGGUUGAUUGGACAAAAGAGCACUCUACAAUGUCAGGAACACCGUUGAGCCCCUUCAAGCAUGCAUCUCCAAAAACUGCACCAGCAUAUCUGGAAAAACAGAAGAUCAAAUAUUGUCAGCGAAAACCAAAUAAUGCAAAAGAGUCCAGUCUAAGAUUAGCAAUGUGAUACUACAAAACAUGAGGUUGCUACGGAAUUCAUCUACAUAGAUCAAAAUGGCCAUGUCUCAUUUCAGAUGGUAAUUUCCAGCUAAAAUGAGCAGAAAGUACAAUAUGUUGGACAUAACUGAAUUAAGUAUGCAUUUCACAUGAAAGCAAAAGCAGAAGAUCAACAGUGGUAUGAAAAAACUCUUUAGUAAAGAAUAUUCUCUACAAUUAGUACGUAGGUCAGUACUCCAAAAAUAAAAUCAGGAAUCCAGGGUGCAAUAUAAUUUACGCAACCAGAUGUUUUAAGUUUCACGCUGAAGUAAAACAUUAAACUGAAGGACCAAACAAAAUGAACACCUAAGAAAAAAGGCCACUUAUACAAUGAACAUGUAACUACUGAUAAACAGAAUGGAAAACACAUUCACAUAUGUACAUAUUUGGCAGUAAAGCACUGUUAUGAACAUACAAUCAAAUGGAUACAAGAACUACAAUACAGUAGUUAGUCAGAUCAAAUAGGUUAUGAAUACUGAAUUUGGUCAUAUCCUGAGUGCAGAGUAUAAACACUAAUAUACUACUUUGAUAUUCUACAAAAACCAUGGACACACAGGGAUAAUAGCAUGUUAUUUUCAAGAGCAUAAAACUAGCAGAAAGAGAACAUGCUCAGGAAAGUCUGUGUGCGUGUUGAUAGACUUACGCCAUCGACAAUGUUGCUGAGCCCUUUCCAGCCUUCGCUUCAACAACUUCCGUCCCACCAUCUUGUGUCCUCUUCGUGAGGGCGACAAGGUCCUCAUGGGACAAUGCAUUACUUGCAGGAGUAGCCUAUAUCAAAUAUAAAGAAUUGAGUUGUUAACUUGAGAUGUUGGCGGUAAAACAUAUGGCAGAUAUAGCAUAAAAUUAAAACAGCAUUAGUUGCAUAGUGUUUCGGUGAUUGACAGAUGAAAGAUAAGCAGCACUAGAGAGGCAUACUGUUGAUUCUUAUCCAAAACAUAGAUUUCAUUAGCUAAAACGACUUGCCAACAGCAUUCAGAAUAAUUUAUACAACUAUGCUAUGAAGUUUUGUUAUCAGUAUGUGUUUACAAUGUCGCUAGAUUUGCACAUCAAUUUGUGUUGCUAUUGAAUGAAAUGAAAGAAAACAAGUUAAGCCAGUAAGAUGCCAGACCUGCGAGAACAGUGGCAGGAUAGUGAUUCCAGCAUGGCCACCAACAACAGGAACAUUCACCCCUGCAAAAGAUCACAGCAACAACUCAGAUUGAAAGGACAGAGGCAUAAAAUCCAACAACAUAAUCUCAAUUUUCCCUAUAAUUAAGUGAAAUGUCAUCUUAAUACCAGUAACUGGCACGUUCGCCUUUCCAGCAUAGAAUGUUUUAGCACGAACAACAUCAAGAGUGGUCACACCAAACAGCUUCUUCUCAUCAUAGGUACCAGCCUUCUUGAACACCUCAGCUGCAAUUGGGACAGUCGAGUUGACAGGGUUGCUGAUCAUAUUGACGAGAGCCUGAACAAGCAUAAUUAACAAUUCCACAAUUAGAUUUUUACAUAAAUACUGUAUAAUUUAAAAAAAUACUUCAUAAACAACGGUUGACAUCUUGACAUACAGUAGCACACGCAUGAGGAUGCUUAAAUUACACACUGAUGUCAUGCCAGGCCUCCGGAGCCAAUGGCUGGAUAGUGUUAGUGUUAGAGCAGCUUUCUUUGCUUUUGCUUUUUUCGUUUAUCUAAUUUCAGUUAGCAGCUUUACGUCGAGUUGCAUAGAGUUCUUUGCACUGCAGUCGUGCAAGUUCUGCAGCUUCUUGGUUUUCAUCUAAUACAAAAACACAUGCAUUUUGAUGUGAAUGCGUGUUUGAGUUGGAAAAUAGAACUACCCAUGGAUGCCACACCUUGGCCAUCGUAGUAUACAGUGUGUGCAAUAGGAUGGAGGCAGAGAGAUGAAGCCCAAAAUGCAAAACAAUGUCUGAAGCAAAUUUGCCUCCUAGCAAACAGCCCCAGAACAUAAAUCGUAAGACAAUGGCUGAAGCAAGUGUGCUGUCUAGAAACAGCCUAAAGACUGAGGCAGAAAAGAAACACCUGAGUUGGUAGUGGCAGUUGGGUUCAUUUUGGGCAAACAGAGUGGCAGUCAUCCUAUGAUGCGACUACUACGUGACUGCUCUCCCCCAGAUCAUCGCUGAAUGCAAAGCAUACAACCGACCGGCAGCGGCAAUUCGAUUCAUUUGAAGCAAGCCAUUGUUUUAAACUUUUAUUGCUACCUACAACAAUCAUAUGAAACAAUGUGACUGCACCGCCAGAGAACAAAAAUGAAGAGGGCCAGGCUCAAACUGUAAAACAAGGCCUGAACCAAUUGUGCCUCCUACAUAGAAGCAGCCUACAGAUUUGGGGCACGAAAGUAACACCUGAUUUUGUUGUGGCAGUUGGGUCCAUUUUGGGAACAACUCUUGUGGACUAGUAGUACAGAGCAAUCCUAUGCAACAAAUUUGACUGCUCUGUCCCUAUGCCCCAGAUCAGAAAUGAACGCAAAACAUACUAGAACCGUCGGCAAGUAGAAGCAAUUCCGAGCAGGGAAACGUGCGAUUGCCGCAUUUGGCAACCAAAUCUAGCUAUGCCGCCUCCACCGAACUGCAGAUCUAGAGUGGCGUGGCGGCAGAGUGGGUGAUAAGGGGGCUUACGUUGGGGCAGUGCCUGGCGAUGGCGGUGCAGAGGCCCUUGACGAUCCCGGCGUUGAUCUUGAAGAGGUCGUCCCUGGUCAUGCCGGGCUUGCGGGGCACCCCGGCGGGGAUGAUGACGAGGUCGGCGCCCUCCAGCGCCUCCCCGAGCUGGUCGUCCCCGACGAAGCCCUUCACCUGCGGCCCCAUCGGACUAGUUAGACACAGAUCCAGCGGAGCGAGCUAGCCGGCGGGGAAGGGAGGGAGAGGGAGUAGGGACGGACGUACCAGGGCGCGGGUGUUGAUGUGGGAGACGUCGGCGGCGACGCCGGGCGUGGCGGCGAUGUCGUAGAGGGAGAGGGAGGAGACGAGCGGGUUGAGCUUCAUGAGCAGCGCCAGCGGCUGGCCGAUGCCGCCCGCCGCGCCGAGGAUGGCCACCUUCCGCUCCGGCGAGGCGGCGGCGGAGGAGUAGUCGCGGCGGCGGCGCAGGUGCUGCGACGCGGAUCUCAGCAGCGACAUCCUCAUCUUUUCCUCGCCCUCGCCUCCGCUCUAAGCUAUGUGUGUGUGUGUCGCUGCGCUGGCGGUAGUGCGGUCGAUGGAGAGGGGGCGGCGGCUUUAAAGAGGAGCGGAGAAGGGGUGGAUGGGAUCCAAAGUGUUGCCGUCUCCGCCGAUGCGGUGAGAUGCUUUGUUUCGUUUCAUUUCACCCGUGUGGGUGUGGUGGUGGGGUGGGUUUUGCUGGCCGAGGCACAACGGUGGUACCACCUGCGCUGCGCACCGCAUACACCACUUGUUCACAGCGACCUGCACCAUGGCAUCCAGCCAUUGCCAGUCACCUCGCCACUUACUCCCUCCGUUCGGAAUUACUCGUCCAAAAAAUAAAUGAAAGUAUCUGGAUGUAUUUAAGUUAUAGAUACAUUCAUUUUUGUGACAAGUAAUUCCGAACGAAGGGAGUACAAAUUAUAUGGAAUCAUAAUGCUCUCUCGCUAUUACUUUUCCAACGCCUUGCCACCCGCCAUCGGCCAUAGAAGCGCUUCCCCCCCUUGAUGACGCGGAGGAGAAUCAGAGGCGGUGCAAACUCGUGUGGGAAGAUGCUCGCCUUUUUUUUUCAUUCCAAAUAAUCUAGCUCAUGAGAGUGGUAAGAGAGGCCAUGGCUUUUUUUGUUGGGGAUGUUGUUCCCGGGUAAGUUUACCCGCCACUCAUUCAUUGAGCGCUCUACCAAAUUCAACAACCUCAAGUUGAACCUGCACUUAGAGAAGAGGUGGGCAACGGAUUCUUCCUCUCUUUAGGGCCUCUUUGAUUCAUAGAAUUGCAAAAACACAUGAAUAGGAAAAAUAUAGGAUUGGAAUGGCAUGUCCAUUGGAUCCCUAUAGGAUUUGAGUUUGUUUGAUUGUGUCACGGGAAAAACAAAGGAUUGCUUUCAAGAGGUUGGAGUGGAUGUAAGAAUUCCUGUGAAAUGUAGUACAAAUGAAUCCUUAGGAAAAAAAAUCCUACGGGAUUCAAUCCCACGAAUCAAACGACCAGCGUAGGAAAAAUUACUAAGGAUUCUAAUCCAUCAAAGAUCCUAUGAAAAUCCUUUGGAUCAAAAAGACCCUUAAUUGGUUCAGGCCUUAUUACUUGCACGCACCAUUUGCCAAUGGUGAUAGUAAUAGAGGCAUAGAAUAGAUCGAGGUCCAUUUCAUCACAAGGGUUGCCCAUUUCGACCCACAUCUUGGUUGGAUCCUUCCACUCAUAUCAAGGCACCGCAAUCAUAGAGCCCUAGCAAACUUCUCAAGAUUGAGCACGCCGAGGCCGCCGAGUUCAUGGGAGCGGGGCACGGUGUCCCAAUUGACUUUGCAUUUGGUAUCAGUAGUCAUAUCUAACAUCGACCAAAGAAAAGCUCUCAUUAGCUUAUUGGCUUCUGUGAAGUGUGUUUCCGAGGUGAGAACCGACUUGACGAGGGCGUUGCGACUACGGGAGCUAAAUCCGGCAAAUCUCGUGUAGGGGGUCCCGAGCUAGUGAUCUUGGCAUGAUGGUAACAAGACAAAAAGGAGAUACAAUAUUUACCCAGGUUCGAGCCCUCUCGAAGAGGUAAAACUCUACGCCUUGCUUGUAUUGUAUUGAUUGUGGAUGGGGUACAAAGUAUAGAUUGAUCUACUUCAAGAUCGUAUGUGUGAAUGAAUCUAUAGAAUAUCUAGAAUAUGUUCUAUCGACUAGCCUAGCCUCGGUUUAUAUAAUGUACCAGAGGCCUAGGAUUUAGAAGAGUCCUCAUGUUGUGCGCAAGCCUUGUGGAAUCUUCCUUGUAUACGUCAUGAGCUGCCCGAAGAGGCCUAGUAAUUAACCGCCAAGGGGGUCCUUGGCCCGGCCCUACUGGUCGGGAGAUGACAUGGUGAGCACACUCUAGUCUAGGAUACCAUCAGCGGCCAAUGUUAGUAAUAUUUUUAACUCACAAGGAACAAGACUUAGUGCAAUUUUGUCCUCAAGGUAUUAGAAGUCCACCUUCUUGAGUUGCCAAACCAAAAGUGUAAGGCCCAAGUAUGUUAUUAGGAAGGAAGCACGAGUAGCCGACAAACUUUGGAGGAUUGGCUCAAGGUUUAAAUGACCACAUUCGAUUGGGACCAUGGAGCUCUUGUGGAAGUUGGUGGAUAGAUAUCACACUCGAUUGGGGCCAUGAACAUCCCGCAUCAUCUACAUGAAGAGAGGUUCUAACCAUGGUACCCCGACCAUGAUCUUGCGGAGAAGACCAUGCCUUGUUGCCAAGUCAAGCACGCGCUAGAGGGGAACGAUUGCGAUGACGAAAAGGAGCGGGGGGGUCACCUUGUCGAAACCCACGACCAUGCAAGAUUGGAGGUCCGACCACCCCGUUUUAAAGCACCCUCGAGGAGGAUGUGCAAAUCAGGGCGGUGAUCCAAUCCCUAAACUUGCUUGGGAACUUCGGGCAUUAGAAACAAGAGAGUUCAUGUGCAUACUAAGGCGGAUAGCUAGUAUCUUAGCAAUGAUUUUUGCAACGGAAUAAAUGAGGCUAAUAGGCAUAAAGUCGAUGAUCUCUUCCACACCCUCUUUCUGGGGCAAAAGCACAAUGUUUACAGAGUUUAACCAUUGGAGAUUUGCACCAUGGAGGUCACCAAAAUGAUGGUUGGCUCUCAUGAGUUCAACCUUAACAAUGUCCCAACACUUCCAAAAAAUGCCCGAUGAACUCAUCCAACGUGAGUGCGUCAUUUGGCAUUUGGUUGGAUGGCCUCUCACACCUCCUCCUUGGUGAAAGGGGCCUCAAGGUCAUGCAAGUCCCGUACGUCAAGGUUGAGCUCCUCCCAGUUGAAUUUGGUCUAGAGUAUUUUUCCCAUGGCAUCGGAGAAGUGGGUAUGAAUGAUGUCUUUUUGUUCAUGCUCGAUGACCCAACCAAGAUUGUGCUUACCCUAUGGAUGUGAUUUUCUUCUUUUCCUCGCGUUGAUCCCGUUGUAGAACUUGGUGUUAGCAUCACCGUUUUUUAAGUCGGUCAUUCUUGUGUGUUGCUUCUUGUUCUCUGAAGCACCACCAUGCUAAUUACACAUCUCUUUAGCUUCGCACUAAUGUCAUGCUUCUUCAUGGUCGAGAAAGGAGAAUAAUCAAUUGGGCCGCAUAGAGGUGUAUCUUCGCUUACCCUCUAUUCCACUCGGAGAGGUGAAGCGCAGUCUUUUUAACACAAGGCUUGGUAGGGCUCUAUGUGAUUGGAAUGCUCAUUCCGACCAAGGUGCACAAUUUCAUUGAAUGCUAGAAUAUGAGAACUCUCUCUGUUCAUUUUUAUAAGGCUUUGUAGACGUGCAUUGUGCAGAACAGCUCAAUUUCACUUGUUUGAAACGACUUAUAAAAGUGAACAGCUCAAUUUCACUUGUUUGAAACGACUUAUAAAAGUGAAUGGAGGAAGUACAAAAGUCUUGCUUUGAGGUGUCUUUCGCCCCUAGCAUCAGCAAAAGAGGGCAAUGGUCGGAUAGCAAGAUGAGUGGGUGACUGUUUGGACUAAUUGGCAAAAGGGCCUCAUUGGUGAGUGAGUGACUUCCCAGCAUGACACUAUGACGGAUUUCUCGAUGAAGUCUGCCUAGUACAAAUUAGAACAGGACUGUGAAGCAAAUUAUAAUGAAAAAAAUUGAAGCAAACCUUUACAUGUCAACCAGACUGGUAAGGUAUGAUUUUCUCAAUGAUCUUCCUCUUUUGGGCUUCAAUUUGCCCAGUAAGAAAUUAAAUUGUCUUAUGAUUUAAAUAUUGGCAAGUUCAACAUCAUUGGAUAUGCUUUUAAGAGUGCUACCGCAAAUUGUGUUUAUCUAGAGAUAAACAAAAUCACCAGCUCAAAAAAAGAGAAAUAAAAUCCCUUUUGCUGCUUUUGACAGUGUGGCGAGUUCCGUUUAAAAAAAAAGUGUGGCGAGUGCUUACCUGGCCAUUGAGAUGUCCAGCAGCUAACCUAUUUAGCCCAAAACGAUGCGCAUAGCAAGCACACAGAUGAUCAAGAUAAAUAUAUGAUCCACACAUUGAGCCAACAGGCAUAAUAAUACUGAUGAACCAUCAAGGUGGCCAACAACAAAUCCAUGGCAAGCAACAUGAUGUAGAUCAAUGUCACACAAACAGUUUGCAGCCCACCAGACAAGGCAAGGCAGACAGGAAAAACAUCCGGCUUGACUACUCCAAAUCAAGCCUUCAACCUAAAACCGACUCGCACAGUCUCUGGCUCUCAAAGUAUUGAUUGAUAAGACAGACAAGACUCAUGAUCCUCUCUCUACUCGAUCAGAUCGUCAUCGUCAUCAGGCAGUGGCUGUGCCGCUGCAGCCGCAAGCUCAGCCUCGUGCCUGCACAAGUCACAUCAAAAGGCAAUCAGCGUUUGAAUUCAGACUGAAACAGAGCGAUUCCAGUGAACAUAAAUGAAACUAUACAACAGAUUAAAGUCACUUACUGUUGCUGCAUGGCCAGGUCGAAGGUCACUUCCGG